Molecule: long non-coding RNA, 315 nt
Organism: Cydia pomonella (codling moth)
Lineage: Eukaryota; Metazoa; Arthropoda; Insecta; Lepidoptera; Tortricidae
Exons: 2
Source: RefSeq, a predicted model, not a curated record
GUGUGUUGUGUAUCGAUUUCGCAAACUGCCUGUGUACGUCAGUGUCAAGCUGUGUUAGACGUGAGGCGCCGAUCUUAGUCAGCUUAGAACACGGUGAAGGCAGCGCACAACCUCUUCUGUUGUCGUCGAAGCCGGUCUCGCACUCGCACACACCGCGCCAGUCGUUCACCAGCCACUCGCAGCCUGACCUCCCAUUCGAUGGCCUGCUUUUGGAGAUCUUCCCCAUCUGUAUUUUAUUAAAACAAAGUCGGCUUAAACCUUUUAUCAAUGAACGAUUUAUGCUGCAGAAUGUAUAAUAAAGUUGUGAAGCGCAAA